RNAcentral lists this ribosomal RNA (460 nucleotides) under uncultured bacterium. RNAcentral's name for it is "partial 16S ribosomal RNA". It matches the Rfam family "Bacterial small subunit ribosomal RNA", at positions 338 to 795 of the family's 1533-position model. The record is from RNAcentral.
CCUACGGGAGGCAGCAGUGAGGAAUAUUGGUCAAUGGGCUGACGCCUGAACCAGCCAAGUCGCGUGAGGGAAGACUGCCCUAUGGGUUGUAAACCUCUUUUGUCAGGGAGCAACGCCGGCUACGUUUAGCCGGACUGAGAGUACCUGAAGAAACAGCAUCCGCUAACUCCGUGCCAGCAGCCGCGGUAAUACGGAGGAUGCGAGCGUUAUCCGGAUUUAUGGGGUUAAACGGGUGCGUAGGCGGAAGUACAAGUCAGCGGUAAAAUCGCGGGGCUCAGACUCGCGUCGCCGUUGAAACUGGCGUUCUUGAGUGCGCGAGACGUAUGAGGAAUGCGUGGUGUAGCGGUGAAAUGCAUAGAUAUCACGCAGAACUCCGAUUGCGAAGGCAGCUUACGGGCGCCCAAUUGACGCUGAUGCACGAAAGCGUGGGUAUCGAACAGGAUUAGAUACCCCUGUAGUC